GGAAAUUGAAGGUUGCUGGCAUCACUUGUCUGCUCCUUUGAAAUGCAUUAGCAAGAAACUAUGCAAAUCAGUUUUAGUUUGAUAAUAUUUUAUCUGUGCUGCUGCUGUGUGUAAAGUCUUGCUGCUAAUUGUGACUGUCUCUUUGAGGGACACAUUUGACUCUUGACCUCAAAUCAGGUAGGAUUACCCGCUGAACUUAA
Molecule: unclassified non-coding RNA, 200 nt
Filed under: soil metagenome
Description: partial contains internal transcribed spacer 2 and large subunit ribosomal RNA
Source: RNAcentral